Molecule: long non-coding RNA, 666 nt
Organism: Rhincodon typus (whale shark)
Lineage: Eukaryota; Metazoa; Chordata; Chondrichthyes; Orectolobiformes; Rhincodontidae
Exons: 3
Source: RefSeq, a predicted model, not a curated record
UCAAUUAGCUGUGUCAUCUCUCUGCCUUGGGUCUUGCAGGUACCAGUGGGAUGUUGAUGGCCCCUACAAAGAAAUGGCUUGCUCAGUCAGCAGCAACCCCCCACCAGUCCAGAUACUGACAGUUUGGUGGGAGUCAGAUUUAGGAAGUUUGGGAGGACAAUCUGAUGAGCACUGCCUUGUGACAACUCUGCAGCUGGCUGAAGAAGAAACUCCCCAGGUUGCUGACGUUCAGAGGGCUGCUGGACACCAGAUGUUCCAGAGGAUUCCCAGCUGAGAAGUAAACGGAUGGUCCUGUUGGCUGAACAGCAUCAUCACAAGCUGCAAAGGUACACAGGGAGGACAUUACUACAGUCAUAUGGAUCUGACGAGAAAAAGAAAUCUAGGAGGGAAGGAUCCACUGCCAUUGUUACAUCAUGAUGAGCCACUGCUGCCAUAAGGUUUUUCCCGCUUGGGUCCCAUGAAUUCGAGUCCUUCAAUUGGGAUUUCUUUUUCCUUGAUAGCUUUCUGUAAUUAAAAUAAAUUCACUCUCAUUAAUGAGCACCAGUUACAUUGGAAACCCUGAAGUCAUUUGCAUAGACAGUUAUUUAAAAACAAAUAAAGAAACAGAACAAAAAAUUUAUUUGAUACUUUCUUCAGUAAAUGGUAACAAUAAAACCUUGACUCUCU